RNAcentral lists this ribosomal RNA (497 nucleotides) under uncultured bacterium. RNAcentral describes it as "partial 16S ribosomal RNA". It matches the Rfam family "Bacterial small subunit ribosomal RNA", at positions 28 to 507 of the family's 1533-position model. The record is from RNAcentral.
GAUGAACGCUGGCGGCGUGCCUAAUACAUGCAAGUCGAGCGAACAGACGAGGAGCUUGCUCCUCUGACGUUAGCGGCGGACGGGUGAGUAACACGUGGAUAACCUACCUAUAAGACUGGGAUAACUUCGGGAAACCGGAGCUAAUACCGGAUAAUAUAUUGAACCGCAUGGUUCAAUAGUGCAAGACGGCUUUGCUGUCACUUAUAGAUGGAUCCGCGCCGCAUUAGCUAGUUGGUAAGGUAACGGCUUACCAAGGCAACGAUGCGUAGCCGACCUGAGAGGGUGAUCGGCCACACUGGAACUGAGACACGGUCCAGACUCCUACGGGAGGCAGCAGUAGGGAAUCUUCCGCAAUGGGCGAAAGCCUGACGGAGCAACGCCGCGUGAGUGAUGAAGGUCUUCGGAUCGUAAAACUCUGUUAUUAGGGAAGAACAAGUGUGUAAGUAACUAUGCACGUCUUGACGGUACCUAAUCAGAAAGCCACGGCUAACUACGUG